AUGGUUCAGAGAUGCUUCCAGCUAGCAAACGGUGCUAGACUAAUCCAUUCAUGUGAUGAGGUCCACUUUCCAACUUUGCAUAGCAAGCAUUGGUUCGAUUUUGUUGUCUUGUUUAAGCAUGAAAUGUUUGUAAUUCUGGACUCAGCAUUCGAUGCAGACAGUGAUUUUCACCAGCACGUGUUCAAUAUUCUGAUACCAAAUUUCAAAAGAGUUUGGAAUAUGUAUGGGAGCUCAAGAAAUCUGAACUGGAGAAAUUGGACCACGCACUUUAUCGAUGUACCUAAACAAAGUAAUGAGUUUGAUUGUGGCAUAUAUACGGCACUCUUUCUAAAGCAUUGGAAGCCUGGGGUACUGAUGCAUGAUAUUCUGAAGGAUGAAGAUAUUGCAAACAUCCGAAUUAGAAUGGCAAAUGAAAUGAUGUUCACUAAUCACAAUAUCCUGAAUGACCAUAAGAAGUUGGUUCUUGAGUUCUAG
Molecule: ribosomal RNA, 474 nt
Filed under: Triticum aestivum (bread wheat)
Lineage: Eukaryota; Viridiplantae; Streptophyta; Magnoliopsida; Poales; Poaceae
Description: partial small subunit ribosomal RNA
Source: RNAcentral